ACUCAAAGGAAUAGACGGGGGCCCGCACAAGCAGCGGAGCGUGUGGUUUAAUUCGAUGCAACGCGAAGAACCUUACCCAGGCUUGACAUGUGGUGGCAAGCCGCGGAAACGCGGCCCUCUUCGGACCGCCGCACAGAUGUUGCAUGGCUGUCGUCAGCUCGUGUCGUGAGAUGUUGGGUUAAGUCCCGCAACGAGCGCAACCCUCGUGGACUGUUGCCAAUCAGGCCAGACUGCCGGUACAAGCCGGAGGAAGGUGGGGAUGACGUCAAGUCCGCAUGGCUCUUACGUCUGGGGCUACACACACGCUACAAUGGGCAGGACAAUGCGAAGCCACGGGGCGACCCGGAGCGGAUCGCAAAACCUGGUCACAGUUCGGAUGGCAGGCUGCAACUCGCCUGCCUGAAGUCGGAGUUGCUAGUAACCGCGUGUCAGCAUAGCGCGGUGAAUAUGUUCCCGGGCCUUGCACACACCGCCCGU
Molecule: ribosomal RNA, 477 nt
Filed under: uncultured bacterium
Lineage: Bacteria
Description: partial 16S ribosomal RNA
Rfam family: Bacterial small subunit ribosomal RNA
Source: RNAcentral